AGGGAUUGCCUUAGUAACGGCGAGUGAAGCGGCAACAGCUCAAAUUUGAAAUCUGGCGUCUUUGGCGUCCGAGUUGUAAUUUGCAGAGGAUGCUUCGGCGUUGGCGCCGCCCAAAGUUCCUUGGAACGGGACGUCGCAGAGGGUGAGAGCCCCGUGUUCGGGCGGAUGCCUUCGCCGUGUGAAGCUCCUUCGACGAGUCGAGUUGUUUGGGAAUGCAGCUCAAAACGGGAGGUAAAUUUCUUCCAAAGCUAAAUACCGGCCGGAGACCGAUAGUGCACAAGUAGAGUGAUCGAAAGAUGAAAAGCACUUUGGAAAGAGAGUCAAACAGCGCGUGAAAUUGUUAAAAGGGAAGCGCUUGCGGUCAGAACUUGGCCGCCGUUGCUCGGGGAGGUCUUGCGCCUCCCUCGCUCUUCGGCGGCUGGGCCAGCAUCGGUUCGGGCGGCUCGAGAAAGGUCGCGGGAAUGUAGCUCCCUCCGGGGAGUGUUAUAGCCCGCGGCGCAAUAGGGCCCGCCUGGACCGAGGUCUGCGCAUUUGCUCGGAUGCUGGCGUAAUGGCCCCAAGCGGCCCGUCUUGAAACACGGACCAAGGAGUCUAACAUUCGUGCGAGUGUUCGGGUGUCAAACCCGUGCGCGCAAUGAAAGUGAACGUAGGUGGGAACCCCUCGUGGGCGCACCAUCGACCGAUCCUGAUGUCUUCGGAUGGAUUUGAGUAUGAGCACGUAUGUUGGGACCCGAAAGAUGGUGAACUAUGCCUAAGCAGGGCGAAGCCAGAGGAAACUCUGGUGGAGGCUCGCAGCGGUUCUGACGUGCAAAUCGAUCGUCAAAUUUGGGUAUAGGGGCGAAAGACUAAU
RNAcentral lists this ribosomal RNA (850 nucleotides) under Muyocopron laterale. RNAcentral describes it as "partial large subunit ribosomal RNA". It matches the Rfam family "Eukaryotic large subunit ribosomal RNA", at positions 70 to 935 of the family's 3401-position model. Lineage: Eukaryota; Fungi; Ascomycota; Dothideomycetes; Muyocopronales; Muyocopronaceae. The record is from RNAcentral.